This 756-nucleotide ribosomal RNA is filed under the name uncultured bacterium. RNAcentral's name for it is "bacterial SSU rRNA". It matches the Rfam family "Bacterial small subunit ribosomal RNA", at positions 8 to 796 of the family's 1533-position model. The record is from RNAcentral.
AGAGUUUGAUCAUGGCUCAGAAUCAACGCUGGCGGCGCGCUUAACACAUGCAAGUCGCACGAGAAAGGGGAGCAAUCCCUGAGUAAAGUGGCGUACGGGUGAGUAACACGUGGAUCAUCUACCUUUUAGUGGGGAAUACCCCCGGGAAACUGGGGACAAUACCGCAUAAGCUCGUGAGAGGAAAGCAGCAAUGCGCUGAAAGAGGAGUCCGCGGCUGAUUAGCUAGUUGGUGAGGUAACGGCCCACCAAGGCGAAGAUCGGUAGCCGGCCUGAGAGGGCACACGGCCACACUGGCACUGAAAUACGGGCCAGACUCCUACGGGAGGCAGCAGUGGGGAAUCUUGCACAAUGGAGGAAACUCUGAUGCAGCGACGCCGCGUGAACGAUGAAGCCCUUCGGGGUGUAAAGUUCUUUCGACGGGAACGAUAAUGACGGUACCCGAAGAAGAAGCUGCGGCUAACUACGUGCCAGCAGCCGCGGUAAUACGUAGGCAGCAAGCGUUGUUCGGAAUUACUGGGUGUAAAGAGUGCGUAGGCGGUGCUCUAAGUCUGUUGUGAAAUCUCCCGGCUUAACUGGGAGGGUGCAGCGGAAACUGGAGUGCUUGAGGGUGGGAGAGGUAAGCGGAAUUCCUGGUGUAGCGGUGAAAUGCGUAGAUAUCAGGAGGAACACCUGUGGUGUAGACAGCUUACUGGACCACUUCUGACGCUGAGGCACGAAAGCGUGGGUAGCAAACAGGAUUAGAUACCCUAGUAGUCC